AUUGAACGCUGGCGGCAGGCCUAACACAUGCAAGUCGAACGAGUGGCGGACGGGUGAGUAAUGUCUGGGAAACUGCCUGAUGGAGGGGGAUCACUACUGGAAACGGUAGCUAAUACCGCAUACCAUCGGAUGUGCCCAGAUGGGAUUAGCUAGUCGUGGGGGAAAAGGCUCACCUAGGCGACGAUCCCUAGCUGGUCUGCGAGGAUGACCAGCCACACAGGAACUGAGACACGGUCCAGACUCCUACGGGAGGCAGCAGUGGGGAAUAUGGCACAAUGGGCGCAAGCCGGAUGCAGCAAUGCCGCGUGUAUGAAGAAGGCCUUCGGGUUGUAAAGUACUUUCAGCGGGGAGGCGUUACCCGCAGAAGAAGCACCGGCUAACUCCGUGCCAGCAGCCGCGGUAAUUC
RNAcentral lists this ribosomal RNA (406 nucleotides) under uncultured bacterium. RNAcentral describes it as "partial 16S ribosomal RNA". It matches the Rfam family "Bacterial small subunit ribosomal RNA", at positions 30 to 526 of the family's 1533-position model. The record is from RNAcentral.